GUCACGUGCCCUGAAUGAUUUGAACAUAUAUGCAACAGUCUAUAUGCAAUGCAACUACUCAUACCAAUUGUCUCUGGGAGUUCAGAGGUGUUGGUACCUGGAGCCUGAGAGAGCUCGUCCAUUUGUUUGGGAGAAAAUCCCUUCUGUAUGGGUACCUGCACAAAUAAGCAUCUCUACAUAUUCCAAAUGCCAACACAACCAAGGGAUGGUCCGUUCCCGAUUUAUCUGGAAUCCCUGGGUCUGACCAUCAUAAAUACAUCAUCAUACAUAUUUAUACCUUGUUUCCCCAGUGUGCCGGGAUCAUAUGUGCAGGGUUAACGUCUUGUACC
This is a non-coding RNA of Pelobates cultripes (western spadefoot toad), 329 nucleotides long. NCBI's taxonomy places the organism in Eukaryota, Metazoa, Chordata, Amphibia, Anura, Pelobatidae. The record is from the annotation of a GenBank genome assembly.